UACAGAGGUCCCAAGCGUUGUUCGGAUUCACUGGGCGUAAAGGGUGCGUAGGCGGUCGGGUAAGUCUGAUGUGAAAUCUCACAGCUUAACUGUGAAACUGCAUUGGAUACUAUCCGGCUCGAGGAAUGGAGGGGAGACUGGAAUACUUGGUGUAGCAGUGAAAUGCGUAGAUAUCAAGUGGACACCAGUGGCGAAGGCGAGUCUCUGGACAUUUCCUGACGCUGAGGCACGAAAGCCAGGGGAGCAAACGGG
This 252-nucleotide ribosomal RNA is filed under the name uncultured bacterium. RNAcentral's name for it is "partial 16S ribosomal RNA". It matches the Rfam family "Bacterial small subunit ribosomal RNA", at positions 524 to 776 of the family's 1533-position model. The record is from RNAcentral.